This 395-nucleotide ribosomal RNA is filed under the name uncultured bacterium. RNAcentral describes it as "bacterial SSU rRNA". It matches the Rfam family "Bacterial small subunit ribosomal RNA", at positions 505 to 898 of the family's 1533-position model. The record is from RNAcentral.
GUGCCAGCCGCCGCGGUAAUACGUAGGGGGCAAGCGUUGUCCGGAAUUAUUGGGCGUAAAGCGCGUGUAGGCGGCUCGAUAAGUCUGCUGUGAAAGUCCAAGGCUCAACCUUGGAAAGCCGGUGGAUACUGUCGAGCUCGAGUCCGGAAGAGGCGAGUGGAAUUCCUGGUGUAGCGGUGAAAUGCGCAGAUAUCAGGAGGAACACCAAUGGCGAAGGCAGCUCGCUGGGACGGUACUGACGCUGAGACGCGAAAGCGUGGGGAGCAAACAGGAUUAGAUACCCUGGUAGUCCACGCCGUAAACGAUGGGUACUAGGUGUAGGGGGUGUCGACUCCCCCUGUGCCGACGCUAACGCAUUAAGUACCCCGCCUGGGGAGUACGGCCGCAAGGCUAAA